UACACUCCUGCGGGAGGCAGCAGUGGGGAAUUUUGGGCAAUGGGCGAAAGCCUGAUCCAGCAAUGCCGCGUGAGUGAAGAAGGCCUUCGGGUUGUAAAGCUCUUUUGUCAGGGAAGAAACGGUGAAAGCUAAUAUCUUUUGCUAAUGACGGUACCUGAAGAAUAAGCACCGGCUAACUACGUGCCAGCAGCCGCGGUAAUACGAAGGGUGCAAGCGUUAAUCGGAAUUACUGGGCGUAAAGCGUGCGCAGGCGGUUUUGUAAGUCUGAUGUGAAAUCCCCGGGCUCAACCUGGGAAUUGCAUUGGAGACUGCAAGGCUAGAAUCUGGCAGAGGGGGGUAGAAUUCCACGUGUAGCAGUGAAAUGCGUAGAUAUGUGGAGGAACACCGAUGGCGAAGGCAGCCCCCUGGGUCAAGAUUGACGCUCAUGCACGAAAGCGUGGGGAGCAAACAGGAUUAGAUACCCCGGUAGUCCC
This 473-nucleotide ribosomal RNA is filed under the name uncultured organism. Its description in RNAcentral is "partial 16S ribosomal RNA". It matches the Rfam family "Bacterial small subunit ribosomal RNA", at positions 332 to 797 of the family's 1533-position model. The record is from RNAcentral.